Molecule: ribosomal RNA, 400 nt
Filed under: uncultured bacterium
Lineage: Bacteria
Description: bacterial SSU rRNA
Rfam family: Bacterial small subunit ribosomal RNA
Source: RNAcentral
UGAGGAAUAUUGGUCAAUGGCAGCAAUGCUGAACCAGCGACGCCGCGUGUGGGAUGAAGGGGCUAUGCCUUGUAAACCACUGUCGGAUGGGGCGAAAGAUAGGUUUCACCUAUUGGGACGGUACCAUCAAAGGAAGGAUCGGCUAACUACGUGCCAGCAGCCGCGGUAAUACGUAGGAUCCAAGCGUUGUCCGGAUUUACUGGGUGUAAAGGGUGCGUAGGUGGAUAGGUGCGUCAGAGGUGAAAUAUCUUGGCUUAACUGAGAAAAUGCCUUUGAUACGGCUUGUCUUGAGUACGAGAGAGGAUGAUGGAAUUCCUGGUGUAGCGGUGAAAUGCGUAGAUAUCAGGAGGAACACCCGUGGCGAAAGCGGUCAUCUGGCUCGUAACUGACACUGAGGCAC